This 441-nucleotide ribosomal RNA is filed under the name uncultured bacterium. RNAcentral describes it as "partial 16S ribosomal RNA". It matches the Rfam family "Bacterial small subunit ribosomal RNA", at positions 338 to 795 of the family's 1533-position model. The record is from RNAcentral.
CCUACGGGAGGCAGCAGUGGGGGAUAUUGCACAAUGGGGGGAACCCUGAUGCAGCGACGCCGCGUGGGUGAAGGAGCGUUUCGGCGCGUAAAGCCCUAUCGGCAGGGAAGAAGGAGGACGGUACCUGACUAAGAAGCCCCGGCUAACUACGUGCCAGCAGCCGCGGUAAUACGUAGGGGGCAAGCGUUAUCCGGAUUUACUGGGUGUAAAGGGGGCGCAGACGGCAGCGCAAGCCAGGAGUGAAAGCCCGGGGCCCAACCCCGGGACUGCUCUUGGAACUGCGCGGCUGGAGUGCAGGAGGGGCAGGCGGAAUUCCUGGUGUAGCGGUGAAAUGCGUAGAUAUCGGGAGGAACACCGGUGGCGAAGGCGGCCUGCUGGACUGCGACUGACGUUGAGGCCCGAAAGCGUGGGGAGCGAACAGGAUUAGAUACCCCAGUAGUC